This 252-nucleotide ribosomal RNA is filed under the name uncultured Acidobacteriota bacterium. RNAcentral's name for it is "uncultured Acidobacteria bacterium partial 16S ribosomal RNA". It matches the Rfam family "Bacterial small subunit ribosomal RNA", at positions 524 to 776 of the family's 1533-position model. Lineage: Bacteria; Pseudomonadati; Acidobacteriota. The record is from RNAcentral.
UACGUAGGCAGCGAGCGUUGUUCGGAAUUACUGGCGUAAAGAGUGUGUAGGCGGUGCUCUAAGUUCGGUGUGAAAUCUCCUGGCUUAACUGGGAGGGUGCCCCGGAAACUGGGGUGCUCGAGCGUGGGAGAGGAAAGCGGAAUUCCUGGUGUAGUGGUGAAAUGCGUAGAUAUCAGGAGGAACACCUGUGGUGUAGACAGCUUUCUGGACCAUUGCUGACGCUGAGACACGAAAGCGUGGGUAGCAAACAGG